AAUAUCCUAAAGUUCUAAUGAAAAUAAAAGAAUUUUUUCUCCUCAUUUUUCACUAAUUUCCCAAAGAGACACCUCAAAAGAAAAUCUUUUUGGAUUUUGGAAGUAACACCCUAAAGAAAGCUUUUAAAGAAGUGUUAAAAGAAAAUUCUUUUUUUUUGAAUUUUGGUCCUAAUAUACUAAAGGAAACUUAAAAAAAUUCAUCUCAAGUCCUAGAUAUUAAUUGCCUAAAGGAAAAACAACCUCAAAAUUUUCUCAUUUCUAGAAAUAGCAUUCUAAAGAAAAUUUAUAACGAAAUAUAAAAUGCAACAUCUCUUUUUGGAUUUUAGAGUUACAGCACAUUUUUUCAAAUAUAAAACAGAAAAUAACAAUAAUAAAAGACUUGACAUUACUGUACAAAAGUAGAGAGUAAAAGACGGCAUAAAGUAAGGAACAAACUCAAAACAUAAAAAAUAAAACAAAUCUCCUUAAGCAACUCCUGACUGAGUGAUUCUGACUGGAUGGUCAUGGGGAAUUUGUCAUGCUCAAACUCCGGUAAAUAAAUCCACACUUGUAUGAGAAAUCUUCAACCAGCACGAUGUGAGAUAAUAACACUCCCUAUUAAACACAUGCAAGACAUAAUUGAGACUAUUUUUGCAAAAUGACUUAUUUGGCCAAAAGGUGGGUAGAAGUGCAAAAUUUGUUAAGACCCAGCAAAGCCAAGAACUUAAGAUUUACUAGGAAGACCGGACCCGAUGUGGGUUGCCUACGUAUCUCACCCCGAGAGACGAGAAUCAGGUUCGCGUAGUUCGGGCAAAUUGGAUACGGGCGAGAAUAAUAAAAACCCACUAAUUCAUAGAAAUCACAUUUUUUGUUGCUUUUUCUUGAAGAAUGACGAAACAUGCAAAAUCUUUUUGGAUUUUCUUUUUCUCUCUUUUUUGAUUUUUGAUUUUUGAAAAAUGAUGAAAAAGUGCAAAAUCUUUUUUGAAUUUUUCAUGUUUUUUUUUGUCUUUUUUCUUAAAAAUGUAACAAAGAAACAUAACUAGACCCUACUUGCAUUAUUUUCACACUUCCCCUUCUCUUUUUCUUUUUUUUUUCUUUCUUUCUUCUUUCUUUUUCAUUGUUUUUUUUUCUUUUUUUCACUUCUUCAUUUACCCUCAGUUAUCAUUGGUCCGCCAAAUGACCCUUUUACCCUUGAAUAAAUGCAAAUAGCACAUAAGAUGCAUCAGGAUGGUCUUUUAUUUUGGGUACACCUGUCCUAGACGGACCCAACCCCUGUGUUGAGUCUGCAAAGUCAAAUGUGAUGGAAGCAAACGUUCCUACUAGGGAUCCGGCAUAAGGCUGUGUUUUUCUAGGUUUAAAUCCUGGGGUUUUGUUCUAGACUUGGGGUACCCGAGCGGAUAACUGAGGCAGAGGAAGGGGUGAUGUACCGGGAGCACUGAAGUCUACCCGGCCUUGUCGCUUGCCCAGCCUCGUUCUAUUUGGUAUAAUUUCUACAGAAAAAGUGAGCUACGCGAACGUAUGCACCAUUUUCAGAAGACUCAGAGGGGUGGCGUAAGAAGACAGUUAUAUACAACUCAAACAACAUCAAAGCGGUAAACAUAUAACAUUUAGCACAAAAAGUUCACAAAAUACAAUAAUAUCAACAAUAAAUAAAACCAAGCAAAAUCAUAUUAACAAGAUCAAAUUCUUGAACCCUGAACCAGAGAUUCUAGGUUCGAUCCCCAGCAGAGUUGCUAGAGCUGUCACACCUCCUUUUUCACUACACCCCCGAGAGGGGUGUAUAAAGGGAGUUUUUUCCAAUUUAAAGUGACAAUCGAAACGGGAUCAUUUUAUUAAAAAUUCAGAGUCGCCACUUGGGAGAUUUAUGGUAUCCCAGGUCACCAGUUUAGAAUCCCGAAUCGAGGAAAUAUUGACUCUGUUUAACAGUCCGCGAACCAGAAAUCCGAGUAAGGAAUUCUGUUAACCCGGGAGAAGGUGUUAGGCACUCCCGAGUUUCGUGGUUCUAGUACGGUCGCUUUGAUCAUACUUUGCUUGACUAAAUUGUAUAAUUACUAAUUUUAGAACCUAUGUGCAUUUACCUGCUACCGCUUCUAAAUUAAGAAAAUUAUCUUGAAACGAGUCACGCGUACAUGUACCCAUUUGUUUGGCGUGUCAAAAAUCAUGUCACGCGAACGUGUCCACAAUUAAUAACACUUUAUUAAGAAAAAUUUGGCCAAAGUUGCGCGAAUGCAUGCUCUGGUUUUGUUUUGAGGAUAAGGUAUUGAUCGCUAUUCUAUUUUUUAUAUAUAUAAGAAUUGGGCCAGGCUCACUAAAUUGAGCUCAACAGAAACGACUCGACUGGCCCAUUUAAUUCUAAAAAUGCAUCUCAUCAAACCUACUCAAUUUUCCCCAAAGCCAAUUUAUUAAAACAUCAGACAAAAAUAGAAUUAUACUCGAAACUUCCAUAGUAAUUAAACCAACAUGAGUAUUAACUCCAAUUAAAGUAGGCACAUAACGACAUUGACCAAUGAAAAUGAUUAAGCAUUUUAAAUCACAAGAAACAGUAAACAUGACGGAAGCCCGCAAAUAAAUAAUUAAACUAAACUUAAUAACAUGCUAAAAAAAACUUUAUUCAUGCUCAAAUAUACGCAACUAACAUAUCCAAACAGUGCAUUACGCGAAAGAGUAAAAGAGUGCAAAAGAUGAACCUUCUAUUGCUGGAGUUUUCCAAUGUUUACAACAAAGAGGAGCUCCAAAAUUGCAAAUCCAAACGAUCUACAAGCGACAACUUCGCCGAACCCAGCAACCGGAGUCCACAUCGCUGGAAACUUCGACGACCUGCUACGUCUUAUAGUAAAAAGGAGUUGGUAGAGAUGGUGAAACUCCGGCGAAAUGCCGGGAAAAAGCAGUGGCCUAGCGGAGAUGAAGUUGGGGUCAUUUUUAUGUGGUUUCAGAGAGAUUUUAAUGGUGAGAAAAUGCUGUGUUUUGUGACUGAAAAUGAACGAAAAUAGGGAUGGUUUAAAGAGGUGUGAAGAAGGAACGACGUGAGGGUCGGUGUCGUUAUUGUGUUACGACGGAAUUGGGUGGAGCUCGGCGACUGACUUCUAGGGUUGAGGUACGUCACUGGGAGGCCACGAGGAGGUUCAGCAACGAUGGUGAGCUAAAGCGUGGUCGUCGAUGGAGCUGCUGGACACUGGCUGUUACUGAAGAAGAAGAGAACGACAGUGGGGUGGGUCGGGGAAGACAAUGAUCGGGGGUGGGGUCGUUUGUGUAUGGCUGCUCCUUAGCUUUUUGUUUUUCAGCCUUCUGUGUUCUCUUGUUGCUGGUUCGACGAAGUACGGGAGGGGUCGUUUUUAGAGGUAGGGUCGUUUGGAGAAGAUGACGCGCAGGGGGGGUCUGUUUUUGCGUAGCUUUUGUGUGUAUUUCAGCCCUCAGCCUUUUUUUGUUCCUUCCGCCUCUUCUUCUUAAUUAUUUAGUCUUAAGCAUUAUUUUAUAGUGUAGAGUCUAGGUUGUUGGGUUUUAGGUNNNN
Molecule: long non-coding RNA, 3487 nt
Filed under: Nicotiana tabacum (common tobacco)
Lineage: Eukaryota; Viridiplantae; Streptophyta; Magnoliopsida; Solanales; Solanaceae
Description: long non-coding RNA (NTAB_LNC018452)
Source: RNAcentral